UCUAUAGGUGGUAGCAGUUCUGAUCUUUUGUCCUUUUACUUUAAACUAAUUCUACUUUUAUAUGCAUCCCACUUAUGAAUUGUAUAGAAGGAACAUUGUGGAACCCUAGUUAACAUCCAUGCUAACCUUUUUUACUUAACCCUGUAGUCUUUACUAAGUAAAGAAAGCUCCCCAUUGAAGUCAGCAGAAAAUCUUGACGGAGUAAGGGCUGCAGGCCUAUGAAGUGGCUUACUUCCAAAAUCAGUCAUAUACAACAUAUGUCAGUGUUGUUCUAAUGAACUGAAGAGGGAAUGGUUUUAAAUUAUGUUUAGAUAUAUGUCUUCUAAAAUUCAGACUUAGUGCCAGAAAGAGUUCCCUAUUCACAUACCUCUUAAAUAGAGAGUUGAAUGGAACACCAAUUGCACAAUGAUGUAUCCAUGUACAUAUAUGUGUGUGUGAGUGUAUCUAUGUGUGUGUGUAUAAAAUUUUGUAUGGGCAGGAAAGGAUAAAGGAGUUAAAGAAUUCCAACACCAUAUAUUAUGGAUUUUAAAUACAUUAGUUUCCUUAUAGUGACAUCUGAUUGCAUUGCAAUCAUAGCUACUUGCUUCUCUUCACACUGAUAUUUUAAAAUAUUUAACACUUCUAUAUUUCAUUUUAAUGUAAAGGCCUUGACAAUAAAUGACUGGAACUUUUUUGAACAUGGAAGCUAGAUAUAAUGACUCUGUACAAUAAUAGUUCAGUACAUUUUUGUGUAUAACAUUGCAGAGUUCCUCCCAUCUUGCACUUUGAGAAUUCAUUUUUAUUACUCAACUGACAAGUUGCUGCUUAUCUAGAAUGGUUCAUCCUGUCAAAUUACAAUUACUUACAUAACUUCACAUUCAUAUUCAGUUUUUAGUUUAUCUUUUAGUGAGGGCAAUAUGUAAAUAUAAUAUAAAAGUGCACUUCAUAGUUAAUACUUUACAAGAAGAUUGACAGUUGUUUUAAUUAAAUGUGUUCUUUGGGCUCCUGUAUUUGGAUACCAAAAUACAGCAUUUCACCACAUUUAUAAAAUUGUGUUUGCAUUUAUUUAAUUUAGGUAUCUUUUUUAACGCGUGUAGCCUUGAAUGUUUGUUCUCCAUUUUUUUUUCACAUCAUUACUCUGAUACUGCUUGAUUAGCUCCCUCCCCAGUCAUGAUUGGUAAUUAAAAUAGGCAUUAAAAUUAGUCACUUAGCAAUUUUGCUGUUCAAUUGGCAAUUAAAUUACUUAAUUGCAAUUAAAGUCCUAAUUUUAAUUGGCAAAAUGAUAGAUGUAGAUUUAAGAUAAUAUGUAUAAAUACUUUAAUAAGUGUCUAUAUAAGGAUUACUUAAUUACUCAACUUCAAGUUUAUGCUGUUAACUUUAGAACUUUUAAGUGAGCAAUGAAAUUUAUAUUACAUCUAUUCUAAGGAUAUGGUAAUUAGGUGUAUUACUUAUCACUAUAAGGGUUUUUGCUAUAAGUUACUUCUGUAGCUUUUAAAAUUGUAUCCUGGGCCAGCCAUUGUAAUUGUACAUGUUCUAUGUUAUGUAUCCUUUUAGGUCUUUGAUCCAGCCUGGCUUUCACUGAACUGGUACCUUGUCCUACUGAAGCAGUCUAGGGUUAUUCAUAGGUGAGACUGAACCGUCAUAAUUGCAGAAUUAUUUUCCUGCCGUGAGUCCCACUGAAUGAAGUAAGAGUUGUGCUAUUGACAUCAGUAGGCAUAGAAGGUGACACGUAUGAAAUGUUUUUAACAUGUAUGAGAUAAAAGGCUUUCUUGAAAUUGUUUUUAAAUUAUUGACUUGAAAGGUCCCAGAAUCCUAAGCUGCAUUUUUAUUUGUAUAUGUGAUAGUAUAAUAAAAACAUAAC
This is a long non-coding RNA of Gavialis gangeticus (Gharial), 1840 nucleotides long. RefSeq lists it as uncharacterized. The transcript is spliced from 2 exons. Lineage: Eukaryota; Metazoa; Chordata; Crocodylia; Gavialidae. The record is from RefSeq and is a predicted model, not a curated record.